AUUGAACGCUGGCGGCAGGCCUAACACAUGCAAGUCGAGCGGUAACACAGAGAGCUUGCUCUCGGGUGACGAGCGGCGGACGGGUGAGUAAUGUCUGGGAAACUGCCUGAUGGAGGGGGAUAACUACUGGAAACGGUAGCUAAUACCGCAUAACGUCGCAAGACCAAAGAGGGGGACCUUCGGGCCUAUUGCCAUCAGAGGUGCCCAGAUGGGAUUAGCUAGUAGGAGGGGUAACGGCUCACCUAGGCGACGAUCCCUAGCUGGUCUGAGAGGAUGACCAGCCACACUGGAACUGAGACACGGUCCAGACUCCUACGGGAGGCAGCAGUGGGGAAUAUUGCACAAUGGGCGCAAGCCUGAUGCAGCCAUGCCGCGUGUAUGAAGAAGGCCUUCGGGUUGUAAAGUACUUUCAGCGGGGAGGAAGGCGAUAAGGUUAAUAACCUUGUCGAUUGACGUUACCCGCAGAAGAAGCACCGGCUAACUCCGUGCCAGCCGCCGCCGUAA
RNAcentral lists this ribosomal RNA (504 nucleotides) under uncultured bacterium. RNAcentral's name for it is "partial 16S ribosomal RNA". It matches the Rfam family "Bacterial small subunit ribosomal RNA", at positions 30 to 523 of the family's 1533-position model. The record is from RNAcentral.